UCACCGUCAUAGCUACAGUGGAUCGUUUGCAAGAAAAUAUUCAAUGGUGGUACAUGUCAUGUGAUAAGUGCCACAAAUUAGCUACCAAGGAAACCGACAAUUAUUAUUGCAAGAGUUGUGGUAUAUAUCCAGAAAAGGUCACACCACGGUACCGUGUUCGACUCCAAAUUAGUGACCAUACAUCUACUACAAGUUGCACUUUAUUUGAUGAGGAGGUUGCAAGAUUGCUUAAUACAUCUGCAUCUAAUCCGCUGGACACACAGGAUGGGAAAUCGGAAGAAGCGCCAAAGAUUAUUCAACAAUUAUGUGGAAAAAGACUCAUAUUUGGAUUCAAGCUCAAUGAUAAUAAUCUCACAUUUGGCACACAAAACUAUGUCGUAAAAAGAACAUUUGUGCCUGAUGAUAGGCUUGAGAUGCUCUAUUUGGACAAUAAAGCUGAGGAGGUAAAACUGCAUUAACUUUUUACCAUUUUCAGAAUUCCUUAACUAAUUCAUCUUAUAUAUGUUUCACAUGAAUUGAUGGAUGAUGAGGUGGACACUGUGUUAAUGAAUAAGCAAAACAUGCCAGAUAGAAAGUCACAGAAUAAUAAAGUUUCAUCUGGCAAACUUUCAUGUGAACUGGUGCCUGUGAAAGAGGAGCCACAUGACAGCAAUGGGACUGCAUUAAAUAAAGAUAAGCGUCAAGAGAAAAUACCAUCGUCAUCACGUGAGCUCCGCAGUGGCACUAAAAGGAUACUGAGAUCUGUUGUAAUAUCAGAUGAGUCAGAAGAUGAAUGCACUGAGACGAAUAUGCCUGAAAAAAAGGAAAAAGGUGUUUGCGGGAACAAGAAACAUGUUAAAGAAAAAGCCAAAACUACAGUGCUUGAAGAUGAAGAUGAAGUACCGAAAUCAAAGGCCAGCAGAAAAAGGAUGUGAUCCAGAUAAUUAGUGGAUCAGUAGCUUAUGAAAUAAAUAGUGCGACAGUCUAUUUGUAUCGACCAAGAUAAGUAAUAGUAUUUGACUGACAUCAACCAUGAUAAGAAGGAUACUUAUUAGAUUCAGGGUGUGGACGUUACCAAUGUUCUUAGUUUAAAAUAGAUUGAUAACUUUCUUCAUGUAGUUUCCUUUA
This is a long non-coding RNA of Triticum dicoccoides, 1107 nucleotides long. RefSeq lists it as uncharacterized. Lineage: Eukaryota; Viridiplantae; Streptophyta; Magnoliopsida; Poales; Poaceae. The transcript is spliced from 3 exons. The record is from RefSeq and is a predicted model, not a curated record.